GACGAACGCUGGCGGCGUGCUUAACACAUGCAAGUCGAACGGAAAGGCCCUGCUUUUGUGGGUUGCUCGAGUGGCGAACGGGUGAGUAACACGUGAGUAACCUGCCCUUGACUUUGGGAUAACUUCAGGAAACUGGGGCUAAUACCGGAUAGGAGCUCCUGCUGCAUGGUGGGGGUUGGAAAGUUUCGGCGGUUGGGGAUGGACUCGCGGCUUAUCAGCUUGUUGGUGGGGUAGUGGCUUACCACGGCUUUGACGGGUAGCCGGCCUGGGAGGGUGACCGGCCACCUUGCGACUGCGAUACGGCCCAGAAGCGUACGGGAGGCAGUAGUGGGGAAUAUUGCACAAUGGGCGGAAGCCUGAUGCAGCAACGCCGCGUGCGGGAUGACGGCCUUCGGGUUAUAAACAGCUUUCGACUGUGACGAAGCGUGAGUGACGGUAAUGGGUAAAGAAGCACCGGCUAACUACGUG
This 468-nucleotide ribosomal RNA is filed under the name uncultured bacterium. Its description in RNAcentral is "partial 16S ribosomal RNA". It matches the Rfam family "Bacterial small subunit ribosomal RNA", at positions 28 to 507 of the family's 1533-position model. The record is from RNAcentral.